This 1388-nucleotide long non-coding RNA is filed under the name Sarcophilus harrisii (Tasmanian devil). RNAcentral describes it as "lncRNA (ENSSHAG00000031596.1)". The record is from RNAcentral. Lineage: Eukaryota; Metazoa; Chordata; Mammalia; Dasyuromorphia; Dasyuridae.
UCCAAAGCCUCCAAGAAAAAAAGAGUUGGUCUCAGGCCAUGGAAGAGCUCAACAAGGACUUUGAAAAGAGAUAGAAGGAAAAUUGGGAACAGAGAAAGAUCUUUGAUGGACUACAGGGUUUCCAUUGGAGAGGGUCUCAUUAUGCACAGCUACACUGGGAAGGGGCUCAAACUUCGAAUGCACCCUGCUGCACUUUGCUAACAAGGAAAAGAGCAAGAUGUGGAAAAUAAGCCAGAAUGCCAAGUGGGUAGCAGGUAGCAAGAAGAUGCUGAGGUGAAGCAUGAUGGAGAAUCUGAGACUAGUUAGGUGGAGUCAACUCUCACCAAUUGGUAAAGAACUGCUCCAGGAAAAGAGGUUUCUCAAACAGCCCCUCGCUGGAAGAACUGUCAAAGAGAAUCUUUCUUCUUCAUUCUGGCUGAACUCUUGGGAAUCUUAGCUCAGUCCAGAUGGUGAACCUCAGCUGCUCUAUGAAACAGGAAUCCUCCACCUCAAUCACACUGUCAGAAAGAAAAUUAAUUUCAAAUAACAGCAUUUGCUUAACAAGAGAUAAGAAUGGACAAGACAUAAUAAAAAAAAGUUAAUAUGAAAUCAAGAUACAACAUAGGCAAAAGGAUGAUAAAAAAAACAUGUUCAGAAGUAUAUGAAAUGAUUUCCCCAAGAAGUUGUUUUGCAUAAUUGAUAGAACUUUGAACUUAUGGACAAGAAAAACUGCUGUCCCUGAUACUUAUUAGUUUUACACAUCUGGGUGAGUGAACUCAGGACAAGGUCUAUAAUGACAUUUUUAGCUGAAUUUCCAAAUCUUGGUGAUAUGAUUGUCCUCGAAUGACAAGGCACAAUUUGCAAAUGUCCUGUGGUGGGAAUGUGCUGUGUGGCUUCAUCCUGGCAAUUUGAUUCAGCCAAUUAAACAGCCCCUGAUGAGAAACCCUAGGACAGGAAGCCCUGCCAGAACCAUGCCCACCAAUUCUAUAGUUUGCAAUAUUUUCCCCCAAAGGCUCUGUGCAAUUGCUUUUAUAUUGAUCAUUUGAGGCAUGGCCACAGGAAACUGGUUUGAAAACUGAAAUGUCAGAUCAUUUUCCUGAAAACAUACCAGCUUUUUCCUGAUUAAAACACUGUAAGAAAGUAUUUCUUGUAUUAGUACAAAUCCCCCGAGGUAUCUCUUAUUCUAAAUAAUAGGCCUUUUUUAACUACUUGCCUAAAGAUAUCACACUGGUAAUCGGUGGUAAGGAGUGAAUGUACUAGCAUAGCAAGCUAUCAGCCCACCAUCCCCAAACAUGGUCAGCCUAAUAAAUAGGGAUUUUGGUAAUUCCUUCCAUGACUCUCUUGAAUUCUUCUUGGUCUAGUUUAAUCUCUCUGUCUCUUGAUUGGUUAAUUAAGAAACUGAAGAUAAA